This is a non-coding RNA of Equus caballus (horse), 7809 nucleotides long. The record is from RefSeq and is a predicted model, not a curated record. NCBI's taxonomy places the organism in Eukaryota, Metazoa, Chordata, Mammalia, Perissodactyla, Equidae.
AAAAAAAAAGAAAAAGAAAAGUUCCUAUAAGUGACUUAUAGAUAUCUCUAUAUCUUCCCCAUCUAUGGAAACUCUUGGCUUUCCUCAAUAAAAGUCAUCCCUGUUCCUAAUGAAAGCAAGAGAGGGACAUCUCCACAUGGGGAGGGAAGUUGGACCCCACACUGGCUUAUUUUCUGAGAGUCCCUUUCCCCUUGGUGAUCCCACUAAUCACAGGCGCUGCUAUCAAGCUGGACUGUGGACCCCUAGUUCCCACUAAAUACAGCUUUACUACAAGUUGAGGAACAACUCAUGGGAAGUAGCCACAGAAAGUCACAUCCACCAAGAAAAUCUGCUCCCACUUCAGCUCCCUUGUCCUCUGAGAUGGAUGCCUGGCGGUGGCCUCCCUGCCUACCCCCAUGUGGCCAAGACCAGGUUCUUCCCCAGAGGACCAAGAAGUUCCAUUAGGCUUGACGGCUGUCUGCAGAGUUCAGACCAAGGGAGAAAGGCCAGGAGUCUAAGGCCCAUCUUCUAAGUUUGAGCUUCCCCUCCUGCUCAUUGACACUUGGAAGGACUACACUCCCUCCCGCCCUCUGUCUCCCACAGCUGUCAGACCUCACCUGGCCCCCUCCUCCCGUUCAGGAAGUGCACUGAGAGUAAAUAGCAGGGGGUUGUUCUGAGAUCCUGCUUUAUCUUUUCCCAGCUAAGAGACCCAAGACCCUGUCACAAUAGAAUGAAUUGCUGGACCAAUAGUCAGCAGAUCUGGAUUCAGGUUUUGAGUGUUUGAUUUACUUGCUACAGGACCUUGGGGAUGUAUCUUAAUUCCUCAGAGCUUUCGGCAUCUCACCUUCAAAACACGGAUCUAGAGUCCUGCCCUGCCUCCCUCUCAAGGUUGUGGCAAAGAUCAGUCUCAUUAACGUGUGUGCAAGAUUCUUAUAAGCUGGAAAGACUGCUUGAGUGAGGGCCUUUAUUAUGAAGGAAUUAAGGGUUGGAUGGGAGUACAAAUACUCAAUGGACGUGUUUUUCAGAGAAUUAGAAUAUUUUGUCCAAACUACUUCAGAGUUGGAAAAUAGCUUCAAGGGAUCCUUGCGUGGGUCUACAGUGGCACGUCUCUAGUAUUUAUGGGCUCCCUGAGGGCAUACAAUGGGGCUUACAAGAGGGAGCCCUCACCAUAGACCUUGUCCUCUCUUGAGUGGGAGAAGCUGUCCCAGAGCCAACACCUCCAUAAGGAAGGCUACAUGCACCUGGGCUGUCGCCAACCAAAUGUGAUGAUCUUUGCUACUAUCAUUUAUUGUGCCUGGUACAUGAAAGAUGCUCCUAAAUAUUUGUUGAAUGAAUUGUGAUUCCAAUAUAAGGUAAUGCCCAUGCUAAUCCCAUACUCUUUUGAGAUCUGCAACUCGUCAGGACAAAAGUAAUAAAUAUUACUGAGGAUUAAAUUAAUUGGGGGGGGGGCCAGAAAUAACCAAAGAAACCUCUCCAAUUAUAGGAUAAUACAUAUAUAUUCAUUGUAGCUAAGGAGUAGGUGUUACGGGUAUGUAUUAUACAUACGCAACAAAAAGAAAUAAGAACACAAUUCAAUUUCAUAAAACUUUUCUAGUGACUAUGAUUAAUAUGUGCCCAAAACCAGGCUGGGCGCUGCUGUUGGCAGGGUAUAGAGAGAGGUCACCCACAGUGCUACAAUUGAGGUGAGAGACUGGACGGUGACUGCGGGGGAACAGGAAGGAUUUGAGGAAGAGGUGGCAUUUGAGACAGGCAGAGAAGGGGAACUGCGAGAAUAAUCCAAGCAGGGGAUCUUGUGACAAGUGGAAACGUUGGGGCCUAUUAUGAUUCAGUCACAGCAGCUACUGCUUGUUGAGCAUUUGCCAUAUGUAGGCUUUCCACACACGGUCUCAUUUACUGAUAACUCCAUGAGCUAGGUAUUUUUAUUCCCACUCUACUUAUGAAGAAACUGAAGUUCAGAUUGUCACAAAGCAAGCAAAUGGCACAAACAGGAUUCAGACACUGGUUUGACUCCCCACCGGUCCUUGCUCUUACACAGUCCAGGAUGAAUGGAAUUAAGCGCUCAUAGAGCGAUACAAUGGGAGCAAAGAUGGGACAAAGACAAAGCACGGAGCCUCUUGUUUAUGGACCCUGAGGUGUCUUUAUUUAACACAGAGGCUGUGGGAGAUACAGGAGGUUUUAAGGAGGGGGAAGAAUGCGAUUAGAAUUGUGCCUUGAGGUCACUUGCUGGCCAUAGGGAUCGCAGACUAGAGAUCGGUUAGGAGGCUGUGGCCAUGAUCCAGGCUGGGGGCGUGAGGAGCACAGCUUGCCAUCAAGUUUUGCUACUCAAAAGUGUGGUCCCUGGACCAGCAGCAUCCUAUCACCUUGAGCUUGUCAGAAACGCAGACUCUCGACCCCCACUCAGCCCUAUUGAAUCAGAAUCUACAUUCUAACAGGACACCCAGCUAGUUCUAAUGCACAUUGAAAUGUGACCAGCAUUGCCAUAAGGGACAGGAGCACUGCUGGGGGGCCACUCCUCCUAGAGGUGCACUUCUUUUUUGGAUGGCAGAUCUCUUUGAGAAUCAAAGGAAAGCUGAGGACCGUCUCUGUAGGAAACAGCGCAGAUGCACACCAACAUGAGCCUAGAACCGCAGGGGCUUCACAAAGCCCUGAGAGCAUGAGGACCACUGCUGGCUCUGUAAGGAAUCCCUGAAUCUCACCUCAUUAAUCACUUAGUUGGGGAGCAGUGGUGAGGAGUUUAUAGCCAAAACAAUUCAAGUCUGAAGCCACGGGCUGUCAUUUUAGAGACCUCUUCAGAGCCUGGACGAAGCUUAGGUCACCCCAGCCAGGGCCAAGACUCUGUUCCCAUCCCCAUCCCCCCGCGCCUGCAUUGUUCUCCAAAUCCCCUGGUGAUCUGAGCAGAUACCCUGGAGCAAUGAAGUGGGGCCCACCCUGGCUUCCUUGAGCAGGACAGGGCCUGCCUGCCUGCUUUUCUUUAGUCUCAGAAAAGCCAAAAUUAGCCUCACUUUUGUUUCUUUUCUCAGGAGCCUCUGCAUUGUAUCUCAGGAAAGGAUUAUUGUGCUCUGGGGACCCUAUCUUAUCGGGGGGCGGGGGAGGGGGGUGUGGGGGAGGUGAUGAGUGAAAGGAAAAUGGUCUUUGACAAAUUGGUUCAAUUCGGACAAUCACGUGACUUCCCAGUAAUUGCCCACCACUGCUUCAGUAAGGCUAUUGUUUCAGCUCCCAAAUAUUUAGCCAAGUGGGCGGCCAGGGGAGGUUGGGGAGCGGUCAGAGGUUUGAGAACAUGAUAAUGUGGGGAAAGGACUUUUUCUGGUGAACCUCUGGCGUUACGUUGGGAACGCUGAUACCCAGCAGGCUCCGGGCGCGUGACUGGAGUUCUUUUUCACUCACUGAGUUCUUGCGGGGGUAAGGAGACACCUCAGGGGCACUGCCGGAAUGCAGGGAGACGGGAGCGACUUCGGAGACGAGGGCUCUGGAGGCGGUAGCAUGAGAACCCAGUUUGAUUCAGCAAUUACUGCCUCGUGGCUGGACAGGCUGCCUUGCUGACUCCUCCGGGGAGAGAGGGAAAUAUUCUUUUACCUCUCACAGUGAACACUGCUCAGAAAAGCAAAACCACGUGCCGUGAGCCAGGGGGCAAAUGUGACUUGAGCUGUCUGCACUAAAUGUUUCACACAAAGAAUUCAAGGUGAGACCAGGCAUUUGCCCUUAGAAAACUUGUCAAAAAUUCCUGCAUCUCCAGGGAGAGAGCGCUCCUGCUGAACCUCUCGGGCUUGCUCAGCCUGACAUCCCGGGACAUUUGGGAGAUGAGGCUGGUGGCGGCAGCAGCACGUGAGAACGUGUGUUAUCGAAGGGGAACACUUUUCCCCUGUGCUCAUGCGGUCAUCUAUCUGAUAUGCCUGUGGGUGGAGGUGGGCAGAGAGCGGAAGGGAGUGUCCAGUCACCGGCGACAGAAAAGAGCCAUGAGGUCAUCGGAGCCUAAGGCUUUCCUCGCUGACCAUGGGUAGCAAUUGUCUUCCCAGCUUGCUUUCCCAGGGGCUCACCUCCGCUCCCACGGACGGUUCUGAGUGGGAUUCCUGCUUGGGACAUAAGUUUUCUUCCAACUGAAACUACGCCCUGAGGGCCAGAUAGGGGAUCUAUUAUUUGGCAAGAGAUUUGAGAUUUAACUUUGAGAACACUUUGUUUCCAGGUUCUGAUGACAACUCCCUCACGUCUGAUCCUACCCAAGAUGUCACCCUCGCCUCACAUAACUCCCUGCUCAGGAACCACUGUGUGGGCAGCCCUCACCCACUUUGCCCUUGCUCUCCCCAUGAGUCCCUUCCCAUUGCAUCUCCCUAGGAUUUGGGGUUCCUCCCCACUCCUCUACCCCAAGACCUACUGAAUCAGCAAGACUUGAGAACCUGUGACAAGCAGACCACGCCAGGGAUCUGCUGCACACUGAGUUUGGGAAUCAUUGAGCCAGCUGAUCUCUAAGGACUGGUUUAGCUCCAAUAUUCUAGGAUCAAGAUGUUCUGAGGGAUGGCAGGCUCCGGGGAAGAAGCACACGGCCUCCCACGUGCACAGAUGAGUUUUAAUAACCAUCGGGUCUCAGGCUUUUUACUGCAGUGAUUGUCUACCUGGGCUGCAUAUUAGAAUCAUCUGUGGGGUUUUUAAAACUCACACAUAAUAUGGUUUCCAAGCAGAGAUGAGAUGUGUGGGUUUCUUCCCCCUCUUCUCUAAGAAGCAAAAAACCACCUUGGAAUUGCCGGCAGUGGUUCCACCCAAAGGGUACGUGUUGGUACCAGGUGUUCUCUCUGGAAAUCUCCCCAAUGAGGUGCCACAGAGGAGAGCGAGCCUUCUGAACAAAGCGGGCUGUGGAGACCUCAGGACUGACCCUGGUAACUUCCUUUAAAAGAGUAGCCUCACUGUCUGGCAAAAGGGAUGUACUCAGACCCUUUAGGCUCCAAGGAUGGUCAAAGAAAAGCUGCGGACCCCAGGGUGCAUCUCUGGGGUGAGAAGAGGAGAGUGGAGAUUCUGGCUCCACCAGCUUGUGGGGCUGGAACUGAGUCUGAAUCAGCAUCCGGGGCCAGCCAGUGUCCUGGGAGGAGGCUGCGGAGGUGAACUGCUACAUGAGGAGACCAUGUCAGGGUCCCCUUGGCCAAGGUCAGCAAAGGGGGAGGUGGUGGUCCCUUCUCCAAGGGCCACAGCUGGGCAUGAAAGGCUGCCGGGAGCAUCUGGUGGGCACCAGCUGAGGAUGAGGUAGGACCAGUGUCCAACAGUGACACCAUGGGGCAGCGGGAAGUCACAGCAGAAGUAGUGAUAAUAUUUCUUUGGUGUUAUUUGCCCAGCAUUGAUCUAAGUGCCUUACACUUAUUCAUUCAUUUAAUAACAAUUAAUAGCAGUUCUGUCAGGGAGUCAUUAUCACCCCCAUUGUACAGAGAAAGAAAUCAAGGCAAGGAGGUUAUACAGUUAGAGAGUUGCUGCCAGGCUGUGAACCAGGCAGUCUGGCUCCAGAGCCCACAUCCUUAACCAUUAUGCACUGCUGCCUCAAUAACAAUAACCAUAAUUUACUGAGAACUUACUAUGUCUAUUAUGUUCUCUGUGCUCUUUUAGUCUUCACCACAAUCUGACGAGGUGGGAACUGGUUUUAUUCCCAUUUUGCAGAUAAGAAAAGCGAGGCACAGGGAAGAUAAGUAGUGGUCUGCUCAUCGUCCAUUCUCGCCCCUCUGGGAAUGGAAGCCGGACUCAUCCCAGCCAAUCCCACAGCUGCUCCUUCACUUUUUGGAAGUUCUAAGCCUUUAGGGUUCCCAGAAAAGUGAAGCUAGUGGAAAGCUUCGUUACGGGAUGCUGGGCUUCCUGCAACAGAACAUGUGCACUCUUUAGUGAGGAACUGGAAAAACAAAGGCGGUACGACAAUAUUUCUACCUCCAAAUUUGUGAGAGCAGAUCAUAACAAUUUCAGGGGCCCCACCCCAGAUUUGUGGAAUCAGAAUACGUGAAGGGUGAGGCCAGGAAAUCGGAAUUAAAACAGAGCCAAAAACAAACCACAGGUGAUUCUGGAGCACAGCCAGCAUUGAGAAUUACUGCCUUGAUUUCACAGUCGUAUUUCCCUGCCCCCAAUGAGCAGGCAACAGUGUUUCUAGGAACUGGUUCUAGUUUUCGAGUCCUCCUGCUUAGAAAGAAGCUGCGUGUGGGAGCUGACCAGAGGGAAGGAGCUGUUAAGGACCUGGGCAGAGAAGCAAAGCCCCAGGAGCCCAAGAUUCAUGCCCAUGCGCUCUUUGUUCAUGCCCUCCCCUGGCCUGCUGGACUUGGCAAAUCAUUAUCUGUUCUUCAAAGGUAGGCUCAAACAUCUUACUCUUAGUAAACACUUCCCCUGUUCAGCCUCCCCUCCUCCAGCCUUGUGCAUCUCAAAGGACUGCCACUUGGGAGCCCACCGCUCAAACCUGGCUCAGAGCACUGCUCACCACAUCCCUUCCCUGUGUUGUGCCCCUACCUUUCAGGACUGCCUGUUAUUUACACCUUGCCCUUCUGCUCCCCUCACACCGGCCAAGCAAGGUGCCUGGGACAUCAUAACCUCUCAGAAAGUGCUAGCUGUUGAACGUAAGGGAGAGGAAGGAGGGAGGAAGAAAGAUAGAGGGAUAGGGAAGAUGAAAAGGGCAAAAGGUAACACAGAUGGAGAGUGGCCAGUGAAAUCUGAUUUAGUGUUGACCCCUUGAGCACAUGUGACCUUUGCUCUGAGCCAUGGGUACAGCCAGUCCAGGCACUCAUCUGGUCGCCCUGGAACUAUGCACACAGAGUACUGAGAGAGAGAGAUGAGAACAUUUAUGGUUUCACCAGGAACCAUUUCUUAUUUCUGUUGAUGCUUAUAACAAUCCUAUGAGAUAAGUAGGGUAGAUCUGAAUAAUCUCGUCUUACAGGGGAGAAAACUCAGGCUCCGGAAGCUAAUAAGCAUGUCCAAGGUCACAUGGCUGGUAAGCAGAGCAUGGGUUAAUCCAAAUUCAUUGCUAGACAGACAAAAAUAGCUCCGAUUCUUAAGGUUGGAAGGGCCCUGGCAUAUCAUCUGAUCCAACUCUCUGGUCAAUGUGCAUCUUCCCCACAACUUAUUGGAGGAGAGGGGAUGGAGCUGUGUUGGAAUAACCCUAACAAUGGGGAGCUCCCUGCAGCCACUGCAGCUUGGACAGGACCAAAUGAAAGUUGUCCCUUACACUGAGUUAAAGUCUUUCUCUGUAGCACAUAACCAGCAGCUCAAUCCUCUCCUGAAGACCAGUGAAAGGCGUGUUCCCUUUCCACUCUGUCAGCUGUGCUCCACCGCUCUGAGACACCACGACCGACAUCCUGGACUGAGGCAAGGCCCCCUUCCCCGGCCUCAGAGCGCUCCAGCAGAGGGCUGCCCGUGCUUGCUCAGCUGGCACACUGACUCACUCCCGACAGUGUAGUACCAGACGAACUGGAAUCUGUCCACCCUUUGUGGCCUGACAUCAUCCCACAAUUAGCCGGUUUGAAUCCAGCCACACUGAGAAGAUACUCGAAAAGCAGCCCCUCGUCGUCCAGUUGUCUCGUUCACAAAGCCCUGGGACUUCAGAGCCCUCUGGGGAGAUCGAGAGCCAUCUCACAGAGGAGCUGACUGUGAGGGUCUUUACUCCGGAGCUUUCUUCCCCAACUUGUUUCUCUGAAAAACUUCGAACCUACAGGAAAGUUGAGAGAAUAAUACAAUGACCAUGCCUCUACUAGUCACCUAGAUUCACCAACUGCUCCCAUUUCAUCACAUUUGCUUUAUCUCUUUCCCUCCGCUUACAUAUCCACCUGAAAAAUAUAUACUUUUUUCCUGUCGAACCAUUUAAAAUAAAAGUUGUCAAAUCAU